AUGUUGCCAAUGGAGUUAAAUGGUCCUCCAUUUGGUCAACCAACACCUUCAACACAAGUGCCCACACAAGAUGAUUUUGAUGAUAUAGACAAGCUCACAUUGCUUAGUCUCGACUUCACUUGGAGUGCCGAAGAUGAUCCAAUUAGGCCGAUGAUACUACAGGAAAUGAAGAAGAUCAAGAGUGGAAAAGGGCUAGUGGAAGAAGUAAGGAAGAUUGAGAAGAACAUCAACACUGGCUGCACUAUCUCAUCCCUCCUUGAGCUGAGUGUUUCUGGGAUAUCCUUUGAUACAUGUGAGGUCCCAACACCUUCACAUUCAGCCGAGCAAGAUAGCGAGAGUCCAGAGGAAAAGAUACUUCAGAUCCAACAAGAAAUUCUCAAAGCCAAGGCACAAGAUGAUCCAGAGCUCAACUACCCAAGUGAUCAAGUCGAAGACCUCAAAGAUCUAAUGUAUAUCCUUCCUGAAGAAGUAAAAGAAGCUCCUGUAGUUGAAGAUGAAGAACUAGAAAUGCAAUUGCCUAUCAUCAUACAAGAGCGUGACGUAGCAGGUUUAUCUAAGCCUCUUGAUGACAUGCGUCCAUAUGAUCUGUUUGCUACUACUUUGCAUUGCAUGAUACCAUCAAUUCAGCUAGACUUGAAAAAAUGUUUGCUUGGACAUGAUCAUACAUACCCUGUUAUUGGCAUUUCUUUCAUUUAUGAUGACACUUAUUCUCCUUAUGCUAGUCCUACGCUUAAUGAAACAUAUCAUUCCCAUGCUAGUCUUGAGUUUAAUGAUAAAUUUCAUCCUCAUGGUAGUAUUGAGCUUGCUGAGUUCUACAAUCUUAAACAUGUGCUUUAUAGCUAUGCUUAUGUAAUUGGAUACUCGAUUGAUGACUUGGAGGGUAUUAUGCCUACCGCUUGCAUUGUCUCUUUUGUGGAGUGUUCUUUUAGGUUUUUGCUACUGCAUCGUUUACUACAUGCUGACCAGGUUCGAGGUGACAUUCCUUGGGACCCUGGUGGAUUCACGGCAUGGUGA
Molecule: ribosomal RNA, 1014 nt
Filed under: Triticum aestivum (bread wheat)
Lineage: Eukaryota; Viridiplantae; Streptophyta; Magnoliopsida; Poales; Poaceae
Description: partial small subunit ribosomal RNA
Source: RNAcentral